Molecule: microRNA precursor, 81 nt
Filed under: Poecilia formosa (Amazon molly)
Lineage: Eukaryota; Metazoa; Chordata; Actinopteri; Cyprinodontiformes; Poeciliidae
Description: miRNA (ENSPFOG00000021336.1)
Source: RNAcentral
CGGAGCGGAGCGGAGCACGGAGCGGAGCGGAGCGGAGCACGGAGCGGAGCGGAGCGGAGCACGGAGCGGAGCACGGAGCGG